Molecule: long non-coding RNA, 126 nt
Organism: Amphimedon queenslandica
Lineage: Eukaryota; Metazoa; Porifera; Demospongiae; Haplosclerida; Niphatidae
Exons: 2
Source: RefSeq, a predicted model, not a curated record
UAUCAAAAUACACUAAAAGGGAAGAUUCCAACAGAAGAUUCCCUCCCUGAUAGUUCAUGGAGUACAUUGAAGGCAAUAUUAAGACAAAAUAUUAAUAAAUUUGGAAACAUUUACUAUAGAUUUGUA